GUGAAGAACGCAGCGAAAUGCGAUAAGUAAUGUGAAUUGCAGAAUUCAGUGAAUCAUCGAAUCUUUGAACGCAUCUUGCGCUCCUUGGUAUUCCGAGGAGCAUGCCUGUUUGAGUGUCAUUAAAAGUUCUCAAACCACAUACUUUAUUGAUGUGGCUUUGGAUGUGGGGGCUUAUCUUUUUGCAGGCUUUUUUCCAUGAAGUCUGCUCCCCUGAAAUGCAUUAGUGGUAUCUGAGCAGAAGAAACUACUACAGGUGUGAUAAUUAUCUACGCCUUGGUAUGCUGCAUAGACAGAUUGUGCUGCUUCUAACGAGUGGAAACACAUUUGAUGAAUUUGACCUCAAAUCAGAUAGGACUACCCGCUGAACUUAAGCAUAUCAAUAAGCGGAGGA
This 391-nucleotide unclassified non-coding RNA is filed under the name soil metagenome. RNAcentral describes it as "partial contains 5.8S ribosomal RNA, internal transcribed spacer 2, and large subunit ribosomal RNA". The stretch from base 2 to 119 matches the Rfam family "5.8S ribosomal RNA", at positions 37 to 154 of the family's 154-position model. The record is from RNAcentral.